Molecule: ribosomal RNA, 273 nt
Filed under: Macruronus novaezelandiae (blue grenadier)
Lineage: Eukaryota; Metazoa; Chordata; Actinopteri; Gadiformes; Merlucciidae
Description: partial 16S ribosomal RNA
Source: RNAcentral
GUGGAGCUUUAAACCUAAGACAAACCAUUCCUAGUAAGCUGUGAUACCAGUAUUAAGACUAGUGGUUUUUGUUGAAGUGUUUUUGGUUGGGGUGACCAUGGGGAAAAACACAACCCCCACGUGGACCGGGGAUAUUAUCCCUAACACUGAGAGCCCACACUCCAAGUAACAGAACUUCUGACCUUUAUGAUCCGGUAUUACCGAUCAACGGACCCAGUUACCCCAGGGAUAACAGCGCAAUCCCCUCUGAGAGCCCCUAUCGACGAGGGGGUU